CCCUGAGGCUAAGGCUUUAGCCUGCCGAGGGCCUUAACAGGGUUCCCGUAGAGCUCAAAAGUCUCCCUGGAAGGAAAUGGGAAAAGGCGGAGCUUAGAGAGAAAAACUACCCCCACGUGACCGAAAUCUGGCCUUGCUAUUGGCUCCCGUCUCGAUUUACCGAUCGAUAUAAAAUCGGAAAUUCAGUGAAGCCUAUACUCCCUGCCACGCGAUUUUCAACCCACGGUCCCACAUUUUUCAGUCACCGCCGAAACCUGAAAAUGGAAUUGCGUGGUAUACCCAGGGGUAGUUUUUGUGAUAGAAAUGUAAAUGUAAACAAACAAUAGAUUUAGAAUGCAUUCGAAGAUUCGUGUAUUAUAUUAUCAAAGGAAAAGUAAUUAAAAAUGUUUUCCAUGCCUAACAAAAAUUGGCGUUUACUUCCGAAUUUUAUUUAAGUUAAUAUUUAAUGUUUCGGUAUUCCCAAGUUUCACUGUAUUCAUUCAGCUUUUUGUUAUGUCCUAUAGUCCUAGUCCACAGACACAUACCAACAGUUGCUUCCAUUGAAAAAAAAACGAUUAAACAUUCAACAACUUGUGUAAACAGUUAUAUAAUUGGUCUCUUACUAAAUUAAGUUAUUUCAGGAACUUCAGCAUGUUCUUCAGUAUAUCGAAACAGUGCCAACCCACCUGUGCCAAACUACAUGUUUACAACUGGAGUAAAUGUAGCAUGGAUCAACUUACAGUGACCAACUUACAGUGACCAACUUCCAGUGACCAACUUGUGGCUAGAGUCGAUACUUACAAGGGUAUUAGUUGCAAUGCUUCCUGACAUGGCAAAUUAUUCCAUAGCAGAAAUAGAUGCUAUUUGUCGAAAAGCUAAAGUGUUUUGGAGCCAAUUCACUGUGAUGGAGCCCAAGCUGUUAGCUGUAGGUAAAAUUCCAAUUGAUGUUGAAUCGAUGUCAAUUGAUUUAUAAAGGUGUUGGUGCUCUUUACGUGAUAGGCCGACCACGGGUUAGGAUUGAAGCUCUGCAAAGUGGAGGUGGUCAGGAAUGAGGGAUACGUAGUGGAACAGUUCCUAUUCCACUGACAGAGUGACAGUUGGUUUUGGCGCAGCAUGUGAAGUAGCUCAGCAAGAACUUAAGUAUAAUCAUGCCAGAUUAGUAAACUAUCGCAACGCUUGAUCGAUCAGAUUGGUAAUAGUUUAACACAUGUCGUACGAAAUUGAGAUCCUGAACACUCCUACCCAGGUUGUGUAAACCUUUCUUUCGCCUACGUCGAGGGAGAAAGUCUUUUCAUGGCCCUGAAAGACGUGGCACUCUCAAGCGGAAGUACUUGCACCUCAGCAUUGCUGGAACUUUCAUAUAUUUUGCGGACCAUUGGCGCUGAAGAAGAUUUGGCGCAUUCUUCUAUUCGAUUUGGAAUUGGG
Long non-coding RNA from Daphnia pulex (common water flea), 1404 nucleotides. RefSeq lists it as uncharacterized. The transcript has 6 exons. NCBI's taxonomy places the organism in Eukaryota, Metazoa, Arthropoda, Branchiopoda, Diplostraca, Daphniidae. The record is from RefSeq and is a predicted model, not a curated record.